UGGCUCAGAGGUUAAAGCGUCUGCCUCCAAUGCGGACGACCCAGGUUCAAUCCCUGG
This 57-nucleotide transfer RNA is filed under the name Ovis aries (sheep). It matches the Rfam family "tRNA", at positions 8 to 63 of the family's 71-position model. Rfam says of the family: Transfer RNA (tRNA) molecules are approximately 80 nucleotides in length. The record is from Rfam by way of RNAcentral. Lineage: Eukaryota; Metazoa; Chordata; Mammalia; Artiodactyla; Bovidae.